GAAAAGAAAGGAGCCAAUGGUAGGUUUAUUUUGAUAAUAUAAAUUCAAUACCGAGUAUUAAAACUGUUGCAUUAUUUCAGAUAGAAGUCUCAAAAGUUGUAUGGUCCAAAUUUCGAAAAAAAUUUCCACCUUGUAAAAACGCUGUUAAAUCAUCGCAUAUAUGUAUUUAUGAGGCUGUACGACAUGUCAUACAUUAAUUAUUUCACCUGUUUUGACCAGAAUUAUUUGAUUUUAUAUUGGUGUUUACAAACAACCGUCACUCGGCCAUUUCAAAUAACAGUCAUAUGACCAGUUCAAACUUUCAGAUCAUUGGUCGUCUUAUCUGUGUAAAGCUGAGUAUUUUGUUACAACCAUACCUUGCCAUAAGUUUAAGAGAAAUAAAAUUAUCAAAUACUUAGUAGUAAUUCAUUGUUUUACACUCUUUCAGUAUUAAAGUUAAACAGAAUUGUGCAUCAGAGUUAUAUAGACCUACAUCGUGUUGGUAUUCCCCUGACGUGCGUGGGGCUAUUUAUAGAUGCUUAAACAAACUAUGUAUAAUAUAACCACUAUAUUUACGUUUGAAAUAAUCUUCUCACUGUUUUCUUUUACAUGCAAAUGUUUUCACGCAUUUAAUUAAGGGAAAGUUCAUAACUUUAAAAACUGAUUAAUCUGCUUUAAUGUAACUCUGUACAUAUGAUUUAAAUAUAUAUAUGUGUGUGUAUAUAUAUGUAUACGUGUAUAUAUAUAUGUAUGUAUGUAUGUAUGUGUGUGUAUAUGUAUGUAUGUGUGUGUGUAUAUACAUAAUUAAAAAAGAAAUACAUCCAAUCCAAUGGGCUCUUGGCACCAUAGGUGAGGAAUAAGUGGGAAUAUCCUAGGAUAUUUUAUCCCAACCAAAAUUGUAUGCUUCCAAAUAAAAUAUAUAUAUAUAUAUAUAUAGUAAAAAAAAACCAAAAAAAAAAAACCUCUGUACAAAAAUGAUACAUGAACACCGGAUCAUACAGCUUUAAUAUUUCCGAUUUGUUUUUAUUAAUUUUCAGCUUAACUCUGAAGAUUUACAGUCCCACUUGUCAUCACUGGUAGACAUGACUGCAAUGCCAUGGUUCUUCAACAAAAGGUUCUUGUCGUUUAGGAGUGAUUGUGAACAGUUAGCUGAAUGCUUGAAUAAAUAUAUAACAUUUCUCAAUUGUCAGAAAGAAACCACUGCUAAGAAUCACGCUUCUUUGGAACCUGUCAGAUCCUUGUCAGACCACUGGGCAAUUAAAACUAUUGAGUUGACCAGGAAAGUCUCAAAUUACAGAAAACUUUAUGAGGAUUUAAAUGUGCUGGAUUUGUAUCAACCAUUAUUUUUGUACCCUUAUGAACCAAGAGAUCGCUUUGAGAGAAAGCACUGAUAUGAGAGACUUGCAGUAUCCUGUAAUGUCAAGCUUUACACGUUACAUGGAAAUUAUUUUGGCAAUUUUCAUUUUCUAUGGAAGUGUGAGACUAAAACACGUGACGAAAUGGACCUACGAGCAAUUGAUUUCAUUAAAAAAGACCUUCCACAUUUUCCCAUUAGAGCUAUGCGCCAAGAAUUCAUUGUUCACUAUGCAUAUGCGUGCAAGAUAAAGCCAGCGAUAUUGAGAAAUGCCUACCAUUUCCUGACCCAAGAUUCUUCAGCAGCAGAGCACAGCAAGCAGGCAGAAGUGGAUGAAAGAGUAGUUGACUUUCUCAUGAAUACAGAUGACCCCAUGUUAUUUUAUGACUUGCGAAGGAAUAAUGGUCGUCCAAAAGAUGAAACACUUAAACCUUUUUGGACUGAACUACUAAGAUACUUGGAUGAAGUUGCUGUAGUCCAUGACAGGCGACAGAGUGCUCAUAUGUAUUUACCUUUAGCUACAUCUGUUAAAAGUCUGGUUGACCUGAUCAGAGAAAGGCUAGGCCCAAAUGCAAGAUGCCCAUCUGUUUCCUGGCUGCGUUCAAAUUUUUGGCCCGCAAAUGCAUUCAGAAAUACUGCAAUAAAUUAUACUGGUGAAUUCAAAGUUCGGUAUGUUGUGCAGCAAAGAAUCCUAAGACAAAAACAUCCAGACUCUCAAUUUGCGUUCCAACAGUUUCUGAUGUUGAAAGAAAUGGCUGUUAGACUUAAAAAUCAUUGCAACAUGGUUUGUUUAGACGACAAGUCUAUAAUUCCUAUUGGAGAGCCGGGUAAACCAGUUUCUACAGGAGUACGCCCACACAACAGAGCCCUUGUACCAGAUGGUGUGAAAAUUGCAGGUCUUCAUCAUGACUUUCAUAUACAUGGUGCUGUUCCAUCUGUGUUAUUUCAUGUGAACAUACCAGAAAAUGUUGCAGAUUCAUUUUAUGAUGGAACAUUUCAUGUCACCGUUAAAGACAAAGUAUUUCAGCCCUCAAGUGCACAUAGACAUAUGGUUGAAUCUAUCAAAAUUCUUCGCAGUGUGAAUAGUGAAGAUGGUGUCAACCUUGAGAAACCAAUUCUGUUUGUAUACACAGAUGGUGGACCUGACCAUAGGACAAAUUUCUAGAGUGUGCAGUUUGCUUACAUUCUACUUUUCUUUGCUUUGGAUCUUGAUAUGCUCAUUGCUGCUAGAACAGCCCCUUCCAAUAGUUAUGCAAAUCCUGCAGAAAGGUCGAUGAGCUUACUGAACUUGGCACUGCAACACUGUAGUUUCCAGAGAGAGGAGAUGGAUAAGUCUUUGGAAUUUCUGGUUAAAUCUCUUUCAACCAUGAAGAAGGUUAGGGAAGCUGCAAAGAAUGAUGGCGGUCUCAAGCAAGGUUUGAUGGAUUCUUGGAACCAGUUACAGCUCAGUUGAAACAACGCUUUAGUCGUCUUAAACUGCAUGAAGAGCCAGUACAAAUUCAUGAUGCUGCAAAUGAUGAUGAACUUCAAAGUAUUGCUGACAUUUCUAGUAUACUCUCUGAGGCAGAGGAGGAAGGGUUGGCCAUCUUUGAAAAACUGCAGUCCAAGGAUAAAGCCAAGAAAAAUGAUAAACUGAAGGACUUCAUCAGCCGUCAUUGUAGGGAAAGGCAAUAUACAUAUCAGAUUAAGAAAUGUCAGGUGGACUGCUGGUACUGCACACUAAAUCCCCCUAGAAUGUCAGUCGAAAAUUUUGCUUCAUUGAACUUGCUUCCAGAUCCAACCCUAAACAAGGUGAAUACCUACCAUUCAGUUCGCUGUAUGGUAUUAAGGAGACAACGGAUCAAGAUCGGUCAGGUGCAAAGGCAGGCAGUGACAAGGACAAAGAGAACAAGGAUAUUCUUGUUGGUUGUACGCAUGUUUGAUGAACUAAUUAUCAAAUUAUCCUAUAUCACAAGUGAAUUAAACACAAUGUGUUUGUUUAUACACUGUACUUUAUGUAUCUUUUAAAAACAUAAAUUUUGUUUUCAUCAUAGGCAAAGUUGGCAGUUUUAUUAUCUGCAGUGAAUGUGGAAAAAGAAGAGUGAUUUACUGCAAGGAGAGGUUAUCCACACCAACAUGUCGUUCCUUGGAUAGGGUCCAGGAGGAGUUAGUUUAUACUUGUGGUGCACCUCUUAUUCCUCAAGGCCACAAGUAUUUCAAAACAUUGAUUGUAAAAGAGGUUUUGGAUUGUGACUCUCCAGUUGAAAUCACUUACUAUGCAGUCACAUUGUGGAGAGUCAUUAGUCAUAGUGCCACAUACGUCUGAACAAAAAGACGACACCAUCUCCAAGAGGAACGAAAAUACAUCACCAUCAUCUCCGAGAGGGCCUACACCACCUCCAUAUUCUGAUCUGUAAAAGGUGCCUCCCAAACCUCCACAUAGUGUGCCACCAACACCACAUGAAGAUGUGCCACAACCACUACAGCAUGCACUACCACCACCACAUGCUCCCCUACCACCAGCACUAAGCCAAGCAGCACUACCACAGUAUGUGCCACCACCAUCAACACAUGCUCCCCUACCACCAGCACUAAGCCAAGCAGCACUACCACAGUAUGUGCCACCACCAUCAACACAUGCUCCCCUACCACCAGCACUAAGCCAAGCAGCACUACCACAGUAUGUGCCACCACCAUCAACACAUGCUCCCCUACCACCAGCACUAAGCCAAGCAGCACUACCACAGUAUGCGCCACCACCAUCAACACAUGCUCCCCUACCACCAGCACUAAGCCAAGCAGCACUACCACAGUAUGUGCCACCACCAUCAACACAUGCUCCCCUACCACCAGCACUAAGCCAAGCAGCACUACCACAGUAUGUGCCACCACCAUCAACACAUGCUCCCCUACCACCAGCACUAAGCCAAGCAGCACUAACACAUUAUGUGCCACCACCAUCAACACAUGCUCCCCUACCACCAGCACUAAGCCAAGCAGCACUAACACAUUAUGUGCCACCAACUUCAACACAUGCAAUACUGUCACCUCUACAGAGUCUGAGAGAAACACCUCAACGUCCAAUGCCCGAUUUAGGUCCCAUAAAGAAGCGACCAUUAUUACCACCGGCUAUACCAGAAAAGUUUUACUCCGAUUCAUGGGCCCCGGGUUUUCAAUUUGAAUCAGAGUCAUAUGGAGAAUUAUUGAAUUCAUCUACUUCAAUGCCAA
RNA transcript from Ostrea edulis (European flat oyster), 4540 nucleotides. RefSeq lists it as uncharacterized. The transcript is spliced from 3 exons. The record is from RefSeq and is a predicted model, not a curated record. Lineage: Eukaryota; Metazoa; Mollusca; Bivalvia; Ostreida; Ostreidae.